CAUCGGCAGCAAGUUGAGCAUUGUGGAUCUGCAACACGAUGCUGGCAUUGUCCACGGAAUUUGCAAAGAUCUGAGCCCUCAGGUCCUCGAUGGUCUUGAAAUAGUGGCCCAAGUCU
Molecule: microRNA precursor, 116 nt
Filed under: Cricetulus griseus (Chinese hamster)
Lineage: Eukaryota; Metazoa; Chordata; Mammalia; Rodentia; Cricetidae
Description: mir-492
Source: RNAcentral